ACUCAAAUGAAUUGACGGGGGCCCGCACAAGCAGCGGAGCGUGUGGAUUAAUUCGAUGCAACGCGAAGAACCUUACCCAGGCUUGACAUGCACGUGGUAGGACCCCGAAAGGGAACCGACCCGCAAGGGAGCGUGCACAGGUGCUGCAUGGCUGUCGUCAGCUCGUGCCGUGAGGUGUUGGGUUAAGUCCCGCAACGAGCGCAACCCCCGUCCCCAGUUGCCGUUUCUGGGGAGACUGCCGGGCGAACCCCGGAGGAAGGUGGGGAUGACGUCAAGUCCGCAUGGCCCCUACGUCUGGGGCCUCACACACGCUACAAUGGCCGGUACAGCGGGAUGCCACGGCGUGAGCCGCAGCCAAUCCCCCAAACCCGGCCUCAGUCCGGAUUGCAGGCUGCAACCCGCCUGCAUGAAGUCGGAGUUGCUAGUAACCGCGCGUCAGCAUAGUGCGGUGAAUGCGUUCCCGGGCCUUGUACACACCGCCCGU
This 484-nucleotide ribosomal RNA is filed under the name uncultured bacterium. RNAcentral's name for it is "partial 16S ribosomal RNA". It matches the Rfam family "Bacterial small subunit ribosomal RNA", at positions 899 to 1397 of the family's 1533-position model. The record is from RNAcentral.